RNAcentral lists this long non-coding RNA (365 nucleotides) under Vitis vinifera (wine grape). RNAcentral describes it as "long non-coding RNA (VVIN_LNC001848)". Lineage: Eukaryota; Viridiplantae; Streptophyta; Magnoliopsida; Vitales; Vitaceae. The record is from RNAcentral.
CUCCUUGGCUUGCCUACUUGUCAUCAUAAUGUUGGGAAAAAUUAAUUUGUGGGGUGCUAUCUCUUUUUUUUCUCUGUAUUUUAUAUAUGUACUCUUCAUAUCCACCUCACAUCUAUGCCAUCGUAAAGAGGGAGUAGGGGAUGAUCGUGCAGCAUCUGGAUCUCCAAUACUGCCUGUUACUAAGAACUUUCUCGAGUACCAAACAGAAGGACUAUGUGAAGUGGAAGAGCCUUUGUUAGGUUUUGUGGGUGAUGAUAAGCCAAUUUCGAUGGAAAAAUCGGGACUAGUUCAAGUUGGUGAUGACAGGAAACGAAGAAGAAGGUGUUUGGAUCUUCAACCUUCAACUUCUAGUCACUUGUUUGUUU